GAGUAUGAUCAUGGCUCAGAUUGAACGCUGGCGGCAGGCCUAACACAUGCAAGUCGAACGGUAACAGGAAGCAGCUUGCUGCUUCGCUGACGAGUGGCGGACGGGUGAGUAAUGUCUGGGAAGCUGCCUGAUGGAGGGGGAUAACUACUGGAAACGGUAGCUAAUACCGCAUAAUGUCGCAAGACCAAAGAGGGGGACCUUCGGGCCUCUUGCCAUCGGAUGUGCCCAGAUGGGAUUAGCUUGUUGGUGGGGUAACGGCUCACCAAGGCGACGAUCCCUAGCUGGUCUGAGAGGAUGACCAGCCACACUGGAACUGAGACACGGUCCAGACUCCUACGGGAGGCAGCAGUGGGGAAUAUUGCACAAUGGGCGCAAGCCUGAUGCAGCCAUGCCGCGUGUAUGAAGAAGGCCUUCGGGUUGUAAAGUACUUUCAGCGGGGAGGAAGGGAGUAAAGUUAAUACCUUUGCUCAUUGACGUUACCCGCAGAAGAAGCACCGGCUAACUCCGUGCCAGCAGCCGCGGUAAUACGGAGGGUGCAAGCGUUAAUCGGAAUUACUGGGCGUAAAGCGCACGCAGGCGGUUUGUUAAGUCAGAUGUGAAAUCCCCGGGCUCAACCUGGGAACUGCAUCUGAUACUGGCAAGCUUGAGUCUCGUAGAGGGGGGUAGAAUUCCAGGUGUAGCGGUGAAAUGCGUAGAGAUCUGGAGGAAUACCGGUGGCGAAGGCGGCCCCCUGGACGAAGACUGACGCUCAGGUGCGAAAGCGUGGGGAGCAAACAGGAUUAGAUACCCUGGUAGUCCACGCCGUAAACGAUGUCGACUUGGAGGUUGUGCCCUUGAGGCGUGGCUUCCGGAGCUAACGCGUUAAGUCGACCGCCUGGGGGGUACGGCCGCAAGGUUAAAACUCAAAUGAAUUGACGGGGGCCCGCACAAGCGGUGGAGCAUGUGGUUUAAUUCGAUGCAACGCGAAGAACCUUACCUGGUCUUGACAUCCACGGAAGUUUUCAGAGAUGAGAAUGUGCCUUCGGGAACCGUGAGACAGGUGCUGCAUGGCUGUCGUCAGCUCGUGUUGUGAAAUGUUGGGUUAAGUCCUGCAACGAGCGCAACCCUUAUCCUUUGUUGCCAGCGGUCCGGCCGGGAACUCAAAGGAGACUGCCAGUGAUAAACUGGAGGAAGGUGGGGAUGACGUCAAGUCAUCAUGGCCCUUACGACCAGGGCUACACACGUGCUACAAUGGCGCAUACAAAGAGAAGCGACCUCGCGAGAGCAAGCGGACCUCAUAAAGUGCGUCGUAGUCCGGAUUGGAGUCUGCAACUCGACUCCAUGAAGUCGGAAUCGCUAGUAAUCGUGGAUCAGAAUGCCACGGUGAAUACGUUCCCGGGCCUUGUACACACCGCCCGUCACACCAUGGGAGUGGGUUGCAAAAGAAGUAGGUAGCUUAACCUUCGGGAGGGCGCUUACCACUUUGUGAUUCAUGACUGGGGUGAAGUCGUAACAAGGUA
This 1499-nucleotide ribosomal RNA is filed under the name metagenome. RNAcentral's name for it is "bacterial SSU rRNA". It matches the Rfam family "Bacterial small subunit ribosomal RNA". The record is from RNAcentral.